UUGUGUCCCUCAAAAAAAAAACCCAUUGUGUUCUUGUCCCUUUAUCUAUGGCCUAUGCGGUGAACUGGUAACAGUGGCACACAGGAACAUGGCGUAUUGGUGAUGUGCUGGUCAGUUCACGGGCUGUGAGCUAGCUGUAACCCAAAACGCAGACCUUUUUCUCAUGAACGGUCAUCAGUUCAUCAUGAUUAGAUCGAGCAGUGAACUGUCCCAGCGAGAUUUACUUUGCUUAAAUGCUAACAAACACGUAAAGGCAAGAGAUCAACAACUCCAUCUAUCGUAGCAGCUAGUUUAGCUAGUCUACGUGCUUUGCCCACAGCAAACGUUGUCCUCCUCACGCGGCACGCAUGCCCGGCAGGCUAGUACACCGGAGCACGCUAGCCGCAUCGCUGUCUCCCGCGUCGGCGCCUUCCGUUGUACUGGCCCGGGGGCGCCGGCCAGUGUGCCCUGCCUGCCGUCACAGGCCGGCCGGUGAACAACCACCAGUCCACCACGCGGAUAGACAGGCAGGCAGGUAGAUGCACACCGCGAGCCCGCGACGGGCACGAAUGAAGCGAAGAUGAUGAUGGCGCCGGCGCGUACAAGUAAAAGGAAGUUUACCGAAAGGAGCAUGCCAUCCUUGCAAGGCAAGUAGCCAGGAUUAUAGAGCGACGGUCAAGAGGUAAGAAGUCUACAGUACAUGGGGCCAUCUAUGUAGCCACACAACUGUUUCUACGGUCUGUAUGGCUGUAUCUCGCCAAACAAUCUGCUACUCUAAUCUGACUACGGCGAAGCUUUAGUGGAAUAAACACCCGGUUCUCUCUAAGGGCCCAUUAGUAGAAAAAGGGUAUAAUGUGAAGCACAGUAGUCCCGGUUUGAAACUGAACCGGCACUAAUGUGACAAUUAGUGCCAAUUCCACCGGCUAGGUGGGCGGAGCUCAUUAGUACCGGUUCGUGGUGAACCUUUAGUACCAGUUCGUACCACGAACCGGUACUAAAGAGGCUGUGGUCAGGCUGGGGGCCCACCAGCACCUUUAGCACCGGUUCAUGCCACAAACCGGUACUAGAGGUUUCUAGUUGAUUCAUUCUGCAGCGCCUUUUUAGUCCAACCUCGCUCCGCUAACAAAGUUUUCACCACCUUAAAUAUGUUACUUCUCAAACUAUCGCAACCACUUGGUCUUUAUUGAACUCUAUUUGUAGAAUUUGUGGCCACAAUAUGAGUCUUCUCCGGUUUCUAAACCGGUGAGGGCUCAUAUUGACAAUUCAGAUUGUACAUAAAAAGAUCGUUGAUGAUCAAUGUAUUUUUGAUGUA
Molecule: long non-coding RNA, 1291 nt
Organism: Aegilops tauschii subsp. strangulata
Lineage: Eukaryota; Viridiplantae; Streptophyta; Magnoliopsida; Poales; Poaceae
Source: RefSeq, a predicted model, not a curated record